UCGGAGGGCUGGCCACAUGGGCAGCUGCAACCUGGGCAUGUAUGUCUGUGUGGUGGGGGGCUUCUGGACUGGGGGCUCGGCACUGACCCAGGAAGGGGAGCUGUGGCGGGGACAUCUGGCCCUAGUCUCAGAGCGACAUCCCUUGAACCGCCAUCUGGCCCUGGAAGGUGCAAGGGAGGCAGGCUGAGUCUGCUCAUGCUACCGCGGGCCGCCCAGGAAGGAAGCAGGCUGCCCGCCAGGCUGGCACGCGCCUCUUGCAGUGGAGGGUUUGCCCUUCAGGAAUGGAUGGAGACCCUCCAGGCUCCCUCGGCUGCACGCUGGGGGCGAGCACAGGCAGCCACAGGAGUCCUCCAAGCCCGGUGAGCCUGCCCUGUGGCACUGCCAGCACUUGGGACGCCAGACUCGCUUCAGGCAGUGGGCCCCGAGGGCACUGUGACAGCUCAGCACCCACCACAGACCAGCAACAGGACAACCGCCAGCACGCAGACGCCGAUGCAAGAGCUUUCUGGGGGACCCUCAUCUGUGACCUGCCUCCAGGGACACUUCCUUGCUCUACAGACACCACUGAUGUGAAGAUGCAGGAAACAGGACAACCCCGCAUGAAAGGUCCUGUCCACCCACCACUGAGGCCUGGCCCGACUUUCCAGAAGACUCUGCGGAGGACAUGCCUCUCGGAGUAAAGGAAACACAGCCCCGCUCCUGCGAAGACGGUGCUCAUUUCCAUCAGAGGCCACGCCCCCCACUCACACGCCAGGCACAAAGCCACACCUGCAGGAGCCUGCACCCCACCCAAUGCCAGGCACCCCGACAUGGUUCCCCAUUCCCUGGCACCACAGGCUCAAGCCCUGGUUCAGCACAGUCCCCACCGGGCUGUUGGACUCCUAGUAACCCCAGAGCCGGGUCAGGGAAGGAAGGUGCUGGGCCAGGCCUCUUGCACUCCUCAACAGUCCCCAUUUCACAGACAGGCAGGCUGAGGGCCCCAAGGAGAGGGCCCAAAGUUGCCACAUGAGCAAACACCACGUGGUUCAGGUGAGCUCAGAGACCUCGGGGUGCCCUCUCCUGCCCACAUGCCAAUGUCCCCCCGGCACAGGCCUCCUGGGUCAGCACUCACCUGCAGCUAGGCGGGGGUUGGGGAUGUGGGCGAUCCUCCUCUUCUCGCCAGGGGCAGAGAUGUGGACGGAGGGCAGCUUCUCUGCCAGCCUGGGGGGGGCCUGCAGCAAGCUCGCCGAUGCCCUCUGCGCCUGCUGGGCCCGCAGGUAGCACACCUCCUGUGCCGUCGGGGGCCGGGCCGGGGGCACCGCAGGACUCCUCCUUGGGGGCUCCGCCUGCAUCACCACAAAUGCUAAGGCCUGGCAGCACAGCGGGGGCACCUGGAGCAGGUGGCCCCAGGCAGGCUUGGGAGAGGGUGGCUGGAGCUCGGGGGACGGAGGCACCACCUCCUUGGCUACCUUCUGAGCUGCUGGGCACACUGGGGGGAAGCAGCAUGGAGCAGUGGUCCUCAAUGCCACGUGGCUCCAGGCUCCCCCACUUCGUGUCUCCCAGUGCCCAGGCUGUGUCCUCAGCCCUGAUAAGGCACGGGUGGGUGGGACUACCCCGAUUAGACUGGCACUCCAAUCCAAUGACACUACACCUAAUCUUCCUCAAAGCCCCUCCUCUGGGGAGGCUCUGGGACUGGAUCAACUUGGACUCUCCUGGCUGCUGGCCUGGGAGCCAGGCUCUCUGCUUUUCCUGCACUGCCUCGCUGCGUCUGCACAGGGGCCUGACAAGCGCUACUGUCUCCGGGCUACAGAGGACCCCGGGCUCAGAGCUGGACAACUGGCCCAGGCCCAGGCCGCACACGGCGCAGCAGGCAGUCUGCGGGAGGUCACCCUGGGGCUGCCGUCCCCGCUCUGACCCCUGCCCCAGCACUGUGGGUGAUCUAACAGGAAGGGGCAGGAGCCAGUUCUCUCUGGGACUCGGGCAGCAUCAAAGAUAAGAUGUCUUCAAAAACCUCAUGGAAAACGUGCACUGUGACGAAACUUGCAUGGAUUUCAAGUUUUUUGCCCCAAAAUAAACUGAUACUAACUUGA
Molecule: non-coding RNA, 2069 nt
Organism: Macaca mulatta (Rhesus monkey)
Lineage: Eukaryota; Metazoa; Chordata; Mammalia; Primates; Cercopithecidae
Source: RefSeq, a predicted model, not a curated record